UAUAUUUUACGGCGUUAAGGGUGAUUAGAAUUAAUCUCAUCUUAAAUAAAGUUAAGACCUCAUUAAGCUGUCAUACGCUUUUAUGCUUAAAAACACCACUCACGAAAGUAACUUUAUACAAACAGAAUUUUUGACCUCACGACAGUUAAGGCCCAAACUAGGAUUAGAA
Molecule: ribosomal RNA, 169 nt
Filed under: Myliobatis aquila (common eagle ray)
Lineage: Eukaryota; Metazoa; Chordata; Chondrichthyes; Myliobatiformes; Myliobatidae
Description: partial small subunit ribosomal RNA
Source: RNAcentral